GCAUUAUGAAAGAUGGGGAUAAAACUACUGCUGCAGAGUUCUGAACAGAGUUUCUUGAGCCUGAUAAACCUAUAAAUACACCAAAAACAAAUUCAGAUACCAACCAUUUGAACUCACUUGCAACAACUCAACCUGAGAAAUGUUGAUGCCGAGAAGCUGAGCUUGGAACGUGCCCUGGGUGCUAAUCACUCUGCACAAGCAUUGUGGGUCAGACUGAAUAACAUUCUUCAGAGGAUCGCAACAAGAAUCAGGUGGGUCACGAGUGCUGUUCAAGUAGUUCAGGCAAGGCGCAAGACUGUUGAUACACGAUGAUCCAUCUUGAGCUUUUGACAUCUGCAUAUUACUAGCUAAGAUUACUAGCACAAGGACACUCAAAUGACUCAAUUUGUGUCCCAUUCUUCGCCUCUCCGAUUUCUUUUGUAUCUGUUACGGAGAAACUUUGUUUAAUCUCAAGUGCUACUUUGCUCAGAACAUGUUUCGGAAUCAAUGUAUAUAUAUUGGGUGUUAGUAUGACAGGAAGUUGGUCAUCAAACUCUGCUAGGGAAGAUGACUACGUUGUAUAUAUUUUGAGUACUCUACAGGUAAAUAAGAUGGUGUUGUAACAGGUAAGAGUUGACCUAAAAAAAUUAUGCAAAAUAAUUCUCCGCUCAUUAGAAUGGAAAUUUUGGAUGUAAUGCAGAGACCAUAUAUUCAAAAGGCAGAUUUAGCUGCUCAACAACCUCCAGUUUUCUUAGACUUGCUUACCUCAUGUGGUGCCUUGUCAUGUAGGUCAGGUCUUUCACCUGUGCUUACCCCUUGCUGCAAGGAGGCUAGGCUGCGGGAUAUAAAGAUGUUCCUUCUUUUUCCCUAAUAUAUUUUACUCAUUUUCUA
Long non-coding RNA from Beta vulgaris subsp. vulgaris (sugar beet), 870 nucleotides. RefSeq lists it as uncharacterized. Lineage: Eukaryota; Viridiplantae; Streptophyta; Magnoliopsida; Caryophyllales; Amaranthaceae. The transcript is spliced from 2 exons. The record is from RefSeq and is a predicted model, not a curated record.